This 73-nucleotide ribosomal RNA is filed under the name Caulerpa racemosa f. occidentalis. RNAcentral's name for it is "partial 18S ribosomal RNA". It matches the Rfam family "Eukaryotic small subunit ribosomal RNA", at positions 1760 to 1831 of the family's 1831-position model. The record is from RNAcentral. Lineage: Eukaryota; Viridiplantae; Chlorophyta; Ulvophyceae; Bryopsidales; Caulerpaceae.
UGAACCCCUCGGAGUAGAAGAAGGAGAAGUCGUAACAAAGUUUUUGUAGGUGAACCUGCGAAAGGAUCCUUAU